CUUCCCUCUUGCUGCGUGCUUAACACAUGCAAGUCGAACGGAAAGGCUCCUGCUUGCAGGGGUACUCGAGUGGCGAACGGGUGAGUAACACGUGGGUGAUCUGCCCUGCACUUCGGGAUAAGCCUGGGAAACUGGGUCUAAUACCGGAUAGGACCACAUUUUGGAUGGUGUGGUGGAAAGUGUUUCGGUGUGGGAUGAGCUCGCGGCCUAUCAGCUUGUUGGUGGGGUAAUGGCCUACCAAGGCGUCGACGGGUAGCCGGCCUGAGAGGGUGUACGGCCACAUUGGGACUGAGAUACGGCCCAGACUCCUACGGGAGGCAGCAGUGGGGAAUAUUGCACAAUGGGCGCAAGCCUGAUGCAGCGACGCCGCGUGGGGGAUGACGGCCUUCGGGUUGUAAACUCCUUUCGCUAGGGACGAAGCGUUUUUGUGACGGUACCUGGAGAAGAAGCACCGGCUAACUACGUG
Molecule: ribosomal RNA, 466 nt
Filed under: uncultured bacterium
Lineage: Bacteria
Description: partial 16S ribosomal RNA
Rfam family: Bacterial small subunit ribosomal RNA
Source: RNAcentral